GAUGAACGCUGGCGGCGUGCCUAAUACAUGCAAGUCGAGCGAACGGACGAGAAGCUUGCUUCUCUGAUGUUAGCGGCGGACGGGUGAGUAACACGUGGAUAACCUACCUAUAAGACUGGGAUAACUUCGGGAAACCGGAGCUAAUACCGGAUAAUAUUUUGAACCGCAUGGUUCAAAAGUGAAAGACGGUCUUGCUGUCACUUAUAGAUGGAUCCGCGCUGCAUUAGCUAGUUGGUAAGGUAACGGCUUACCAAGGCAACGAUGCAUAGCCGACCUGAGAGGGUGAUCGGCCACACUGGACCUGAGACACGGUCCAGACUCCUACGGGAGGCAGCAGUAGGGAAUCUUCCGCAAUGGGCGAAAGCCUGACGGAGCAACGCCGCGUGAGUGAUGAAGGUCUUCGGAUCGUAAAACUCUGUUAUUAGGGAAGAACAUAUGUGUAAGUAACUGUGCACAUCUUGACGGUACCUAAUCAGAAAGCCACGGCUAACUACGU
RNAcentral lists this ribosomal RNA (496 nucleotides) under uncultured bacterium. RNAcentral's name for it is "partial 16S ribosomal RNA". It matches the Rfam family "Bacterial small subunit ribosomal RNA", at positions 28 to 506 of the family's 1533-position model. The record is from RNAcentral.